Long non-coding RNA from Xenia sp. Carnegie-2017, 369 nucleotides. RefSeq lists it as uncharacterized. The transcript is spliced from 3 exons. Lineage: Eukaryota; Metazoa; Cnidaria; Anthozoa; Malacalcyonacea; Xeniidae. The record is from RefSeq and is a predicted model, not a curated record.
GUGAAAUAUCUCUUGGAGUGCUUUGAAAAAAUGUUCAGACAUGGACAUUCUUCUCUUAAACGACAAUUAGUCAUCAAAUGAGAUUGAGAAACAACGAACAAAUGUUGGUGUAUUUACCAUGAUCGUAGACUUCACAAUUAAAGAAAGUGGUUAUUGUUCACAGCGGUUGAAGAGAAUUGUGGCUGUUGUCGACCAGUUCCUCGACGCUCAUCUAAACAUAAGAACAAAAUACAAUUCUGUAAUUUGGUUGAAAUUCUUCUUCCCUUGAACUACAUUACUAGUGAAUAAAAUGUUCAAUAAACCUUCUGAUCAAGAAUGGACAAUAUACGUACUUUAAUGAAAUCCUCUGAACAAUGAUCAAGAAUGAAC